Lontra canadensis (Northern American river otter) is the source of this 388-nucleotide long non-coding RNA. RefSeq lists it as uncharacterized. The transcript is spliced from 3 exons. The record is from RefSeq and is a predicted model, not a curated record. NCBI's taxonomy places the organism in Eukaryota, Metazoa, Chordata, Mammalia, Carnivora, Mustelidae.
CCGCCUCUGUGUGGUUCCUGCUCCAUCCUCUGUGCCUACAAAAGACUGAGCUUCCCAUCCCAGCACUUGGGUUUUCAGAAAGGGCAGAAGGCCAAACACAUGGAAAGCUCCAGGCAGCCCAGCAGGAGGAGAGCAGGGCAAAGGCCCCGGGACCCUCCUGAGAAAAUCCGCAGAGGAAACAGGACACAGAGUGGACGGCAGAGGCAAAACGUCAGCUCAGUUCCAAGAGGCUGGAAGUGUGGAGCGGGAAAUGGGACUUCCCUUGUGUUUUUAUGUUUAGCUGGGGUUUAAUUAAUAACCGGCAAACAAGUCUAUAAUUAACUCGAUUUCCCUUUUGGCCGGCCAAGGGAAUAAUAAUAAAGGUCCUUUUUAAGUCCUCGGUGUUGCU